Molecule: RNA transcript, 1966 nt
Organism: Odontomachus brunneus
Lineage: Eukaryota; Metazoa; Arthropoda; Insecta; Hymenoptera; Formicidae
Gene name: DNA-binding protein D-ETS-6-like
Exons: 5
Source: RefSeq, a predicted model, not a curated record
UCUUCGCUGUGCACGCAUUAUUAAUAAUAAUUAACAGUAAUAAAGUAAUGAUUGACAAGUAACAGUAACCUAAAUAUAUCAUAAUCCAUCCAACUGGAACUCGAGCCACAUAUCUUCAUGGAUUUCAUGGUGUAGUCAGACAUUCUCGAUAAAACCAACGCCGGUCGCUACGAUACUUCCGUCGACUGGGAAGGAGCUGCUGAAAUUAUCUCUGCGAGAUUGGCAAGACAUCGGCGGCGUGACGGGAGGCCGACUUCUAGCUCGACACUUAGGCCAUUUUGUUCUGCAGGGGACUGGUGUGCACACUCCCGAUCUGCUGCAGGAGAACGAGGAUAAUGUUGUGCGGCAGUACAGGAAGCAUCGUUGAUACACAGAAUUGCAAAUUUCUAUCAAUUCGAUCGAUCUCGUUCUCGCAUGCUGAGCUCUGAAAUCUCAAACGAAACUGUACGAAAACGGGAAAGCGUAGCGUCAUCUCUUCGGACGCGAAAGAAGAAAAGCAAAAAGUUUGAGGAGAUACGAUCUGGAUAAAUGUGUGAUUACUAUGAGCGAUCGUGACGCGCUCGCAAAAUCCAUUUGUACGGCCGAAUUGCGAAGGAAUCUCCACGGGAUCGGUCGCAUGCAUCGCAUCAUUUGGUCAGUAUUUCAUACCGAUGGGAGAAUUUGUCGUAUGAAAAUGUAACGCGGCGUAACUUCGUCUCCUCACGGUGCAUGCAACGUAUCGACGUAUCGAGGAGAGACAUUAGCGUAAAUUUCCCGGGUGAAAGAGGCGAAAGAAGGAUCGUAACUACUGGAGAUUACGACGUAUAGAGAUUAGGAGCGACGAUCGUCUUGUCGAUUGAACAAAACCCGAUGCGCGUAAUCGCAGAGAUGACGACGGGUCUGUCGCACGCUGGUUUUCGAAAGCGCCGUUUAUAUGGCACAGGAUUAGGCUGAGAUAUCAGCGCAUUCGUCACGUAAUGUGGAGAAUUCAGACACAUCCUCUACACCUUCAGCAGGACACCAGAUUACAUCCUUCGGCCGCUGCGAUUCUUUAUAACGGUAAAUUCAGAGGAAAGGAGAUAAGCAAGUGAAAGUAAAAAAAGAGAGAGAGGAAGGAAAAACGUCAGGAACUGUAUUAUGUAUAAUGUUAUUACAUUUAUAGGGUAUAAUGUUAUUACAUUUGUAGGGUGACAAUUAGAAUAUUGCUGAGAUCAAUUGGCUGUUAUUUGGAAACGCGCGAUUCAGUGAGAUAAAGUUUUACCUUAAAAAAGUCUAAGGACGCGCUAUUGAACGUAAUGAUCGACGAAUAACGUAAUAGGAUUAUAACAAUGGAAGAUCGCGUUAAGUAAUCGAAGAAAAUCGGAAUUUCUAAGUAUAAAAAAUUAACUUCCAAAAAAAUGUUAUAUUCUCCAUAUAUUAAGGAAGUCAAAAUAUCAUUUUCUUUCUAGUGUAAACCUGAUGGGAUAAACUUUUUUCUUCGCGAUGCUAAAGUGAAAUUGAAAAAGUGAAAUAGAUGCAAAUUCAGGCCUAAAAUGACAAAGAGCAGAUAUAAUUGUUACAGUAAUAUUCUAAUUGUCCCUCUGUAUGUGCAUAUGUAGCACACGCACACACAUGUAUACGUUGUAACCGAGACGAAAUAAUGAAGAAAGGUAAUUUUUGCGGCAAGAGAUAAAUGUAACAGUUUGUUUCGACGAAAGGGAAUAAGGAAUGGAAUAUUGAAAUGUUGAACAUAACUUCCUUUCACACAUGCGAUCGAGUCCGAGUCGACCGCGUUGCGUAAUGACGAUCACUGCGAGCGAUUUCGUGAACGUAACGGAAGAUCUUCACCGAUGAUGAUAGAUGGAAGAGUAUAAGAGACCGUGCGGUAUAGUAUCGUGAAUGGAAAGGCAAAUAUGCUGGAGAGAUGCGGCGACCAUCGCUCUUCUCUCUAGCGGAACAAACGACCUCGUAGCCAGAGAACGGGAUUUGGUGCAUGCGUGUUUCGUUU